RNAcentral lists this ribosomal RNA (497 nucleotides) under uncultured bacterium. Its description in RNAcentral is "partial 16S ribosomal RNA". It matches the Rfam family "Bacterial small subunit ribosomal RNA", at positions 28 to 507 of the family's 1533-position model. The record is from RNAcentral.
GAUGAACGCUGGCGGCGUGCCUAAUACAUGCAAGUCGAGCGAACAGAUGAGGAGCUUGCUCCUCUGACGUUAGCGGCGGACGGGUGAGUAACACGUGGAUAACCUACCUAUAAGACUGGGAUAACUUCGGGAAACCGGAGCUAAUACCGGAUAAUAUAUUGAACCGCAUGGUUCAAUAGUGAAAGACGGUUUUGCUGUCACUUAUAGAUGGAUCCGCGCCGCAUUAGCUAGUUGGUAAGGUAACGGCUUACCAAGGCAACGAUGCGUAGCCGACCUGAGAGGGGGAUAGGCCACCCGGGAACUGAGACACGGUCCAGACUCCUACGGGAGGCAGCAGUAGGGAAUGUUCCGCAAUGGGGGAAAGCCUGACGGAGCAACGCCGCGUGAGUGAUGAAGGUCUUCGGAUCGUAAAAAUCUGUUAUUAGGGAAGAACAAAUGUGUAAGUAACUAUGCACGUCUUGACGGUACCUAAUCAGAAAGCCACGGCUAACUACGUG